UCAUAGGAUAAGAUCUAGAUAUGCAGACCAGAGCUAUAAUAAUGCGUGAUAUUAUGGAAGUAGCAGGAUAUUAAGAGGCAGACAAAGAUGUAUGUCAGGAGGUGAAUAAAUAAAGACAGUGAACCAUUCCUUCUACUCUCAGAAGUAAACAAAGCUGGUCAUUAAAGAGAGAUGUGAUCUCACUGUGUUGCCCAGGCUGAUCUCAAAUUCCUGGCCUCCAGCUAUCCUCCUGUCUUGACCUCCCAAAGUGUUGGGUUUACAGCAACUUGCAACAGAUAGCACUGAGUCUAUAUGAAAGUUUUCAGCAAGUGAUCCACCAAAGUGAGUACACCAAGCCGUCUUGUAGGAUUACACAUGAAUCGUAUAUGUGAGGCACUCUAUACCUUCUUCUUUUUUUUUUACCAAAGUCACCUUCAUAAUGGAUGAUAACACAGAACAAGGCAUAACAAGUACUGUUUUUAAAGGAGUUACAUUCAAAUGAGGGAAGAUGUACAAUGAAAACAUG
RNAcentral lists this long non-coding RNA (505 nucleotides) under Callithrix jacchus (white-tufted-ear marmoset). RNAcentral's name for it is "lncRNA (ENSCJAG00000052360.2)". The record is from RNAcentral. Lineage: Eukaryota; Metazoa; Chordata; Mammalia; Primates; Cebidae.